AUUCCCUCAGUGGCUACAUUUAAGCCAUUUAUACUUUAUACUUUAAAACACUGAAGGUAGGCCUGGCCUUCUGUGGGUUUAGGUGGGGGCAGAUCAGCGAUGGCCAAGGGAGAAUGUCUUCUCUGUGGUUAUUCUUCACAGUGAGACAAUGAAGACCCCAUAAGCUAAAAGAGCAACUGCAUUUGAGGAGGUACAAUGGCAGCCCAGUUCUGAAGCUUCUUCUUAGUGGCCAGUAGGGACUCAUUCUGACCCAACAGAAACCUCUUAGGUUCUGCAGUGACUAAAGCCAACAGCCUGAGGCAUGCUGCUGUGUAGUAGACAAAGGGCAGGCAGCGAGCAAGUGUGUACAAGGUACAUACGUGCUGCACGCUGCUGUGUAGUGGAGAAAGGGCAGCGAGCAAGUGUGUGCAGGGUACAUACAUGCCGCACGCUGCUGUGUAGUGGAGAAAGGGCAGGCAGCGAGCAAGUGUGUGCAGGGUACAUACGUGCUGCACGCUGCUGUGUAGUGGAGAAAGGGCAGGCAGCCAGUAAGUGCGUGCAGGGUACAUACGUGCUGAACGUGUCCAUCUCUCCAGUCAGAUUGAUUUG
RNAcentral lists this non-coding RNA (588 nucleotides) under Pan troglodytes (chimpanzee). Lineage: Eukaryota; Metazoa; Chordata; Mammalia; Primates; Hominidae. The record is from RNAcentral.